UAGUGACAGACAGAAAGACUAACGGCUUGUUGUCAUUUUAUACGGCUUCAACAAGACUUGAGGUAAGGUCCACAUGGAGAGGUAAACUUCAUGGCUAAAUUAACGAAAGCUCCAUAGAGAGGACACUGUAAGGGUUUGGUUUUGUAUCAGCGAGCCGAAUAUUAAGGAGGAAAUUAAGCUAAAAAGCAGUUUUCGGAGGUUUUUGGUUUCGCCUCUAUAUCUUUUUGUUUCUACGCAGCAAUUAUGCUAACCAUAUGUUCUCUAUUCGUUCAACGUUGCAAACGAUCUAGCAAAUAAGUGUUUUGUUUCCUGACAUUAUCAGCCCCCUCCCCCUCUCUGGUCCCUGCUUCUAGCUCCAUUUUGUGUGGCAACACAGAGCAGAGGUCCUCUGGGCUCCUGUCCGCCACAUGAGGGGUUCUGGACCUAACGCUCCAUCAAACCCGCAAUAAAUCCAGGGUGAAAGGUGAGUUUUUAUGAUGGCUGAAAACUGUUAGAGAACACAUCCUGUUUCCAUGAUGUCAAGGCAGGAAGCAAGAGCCACCUACAGGUUGCUGAUGAUUUGGAGGAUGAAUCUGGCUCUCUGGCUUACUCUGCUUUUCCCUGAUGGAAAAUCUCUGAUGGCGGCAAACCUACUAAGAUUCUUUGAAGCUGCUGUCAUUAUUUGGUGUGAACAAAAUUCAUUUCAGCAAACAAUUCUACUGUAGGUAAACCAACCUGAUCUAGGAAUAUGACUAUUCUAGUUGGGUGACAUAACUGUGCUCUCCUCUGUUGCUGUUUAUUGGCUCCAUGAAGAAGAGAGGAACAUGUCAGGAAGAGGAGUGGGAUAAGGUGCUCGAAAACUUCAUAUUUAUUAUUGUUACGCUACACUUCAAAAAGACAAAUUGACUUGAGGGAUAAUAAUAUAAUCUAGAAUGUGUUGAUCUGACUUUCCAAGAGUGAAAAGCAGAGGACAUAUAAUCAUUAACAGCCAGCCUGUGCAUGUUCACAGGCUGUUUGUCUCCUCCCUCAACAUUCUCGUCCAAUUCACCCCAUUUCUCCCCAACCUUUGACCUCUGCAUGUCCACCCCUUCCCCCAGACACACACAGAGACAUGCUGCUCCUGACAUGCUGUUCUAACGCCAAGAGGCAGAAAUCCUUUCAUAAAUUUGUUUUGUUACAUGUAUGGAGAAAAAUGUUCUAUAUAGCAGUGAAGUAACUAAACACACAUUCUCUGCUUUCUCUGUAUUAUUAAUGAGACAACAGAGUAUAUUAACUUCAAGAUUCAGUCUUUUGGCAAAAAAAACCCAAACCUUUGAUAGUUUCAAGUUCCUAAAUUUAAAGUACAUGUUACUCAUGAGUAUGGUAUUUUUUACUAUAUAUUCAAUGCAUUCUACUGCUAGCAGCUACUAGUAUAUAAGUGACGUUGAAUCUGACUGUACGAUUGGAUUGAACUGACUUGUUUUGUAAAGUGCCUUGAGACAAUAUUUGUUGUGAACUGGUGUUAUAUAAAUGAACUGAAUUGAACUGAACUAGCUGUAGAGACAAUAUGGAGAUUAUAGUCAAGUAUGUUGAACUUCAGCUCUCUCAAUAGCCUGAACCUUAGAAACCUACAACUCUUAGGACACUGCCUGGAAAUGAGCCUUGACAAAUGUACUUCUUAUCCAUAUCACAGCUACUUUAUCUUUCCAUGCAUUGUUCAUAUGAAUUCUGACCUUUAUCUGUGCUACAUUUCCCUUCCUAAUGAAGUUCUUUAGAAAUAUUUCCUCAACAGCAUGUGUACAAUCACAGAUGCUUAAUGGUGAAAAAGCAGAAACCAAACCUGAACUGAGCUUUCAAGAGUAUGCAAUCUCUAUACAUUCCACUUUUGGUACUUUGAGGUUUGAAAAUAAUGUAAGUUCAUUGUAAUUUAUAGUUUCAAAUAAAGUUGUUCAUAGCU
Molecule: long non-coding RNA, 1915 nt
Organism: Girardinichthys multiradiatus
Lineage: Eukaryota; Metazoa; Chordata; Actinopteri; Cyprinodontiformes; Goodeidae
Exons: 4
Source: RefSeq, a predicted model, not a curated record